GGCCGACUGGGUCUUCGUGCACAUGCGUAUCCUGGAGUUGCGCGUCCGCUGUAGGCCGCUUGCGGCUGCGAGGGUCCGCAGGGCUGUCGCGGGUUUAUUUAAUCGGCACGGACUCUUCUGUCAGGUGUCAGACUCCUGUUCCUCCUGCGGCUGUCCGGCGCGUGCCUGUUCCGUCUGGGCACGAGUCCGUGAGAGAGAAGUCACGCCCUCUUCCCCAGAGGGUGUGGAGCGCGAGGUUCGCGCGAGUCAGGUAGGAUAUUUUAUAACAGUAGAUCUCCAAGUGUGGUCCCUGGACAAGCAGCAUCACCAUCACCUGUGAACUUGUUACAAAGGAAGAUUCUUGAAACUCUACCUCAGACCUUCUGAAUCAGAACUCUGGAGGUAAGACUCAGAAAUCUAUGUUUAGGCAAGUCGAAGGAAUCUGAAACACUUUAAAACUUGAGAACUGCUGUUUUUUUAAAAUAUAUUUUUAUUAUUUUUUAUUGUUUUUAUUUUAUUUUUUUGAGAACUGUUUUAAGAGUCAUCUUCAUUUUAUUUAUUUUUAUUUAUUUAUUUUUAAAAGAUUUUAUUUAUUUAUUCAUGAUAGACAUAGAGAGAGAGAGAGAGAGAGAGAGAGAGGCAGAGACACAGGCAGAGAGAGAAGCAGGCUCCAUGCCGGGAGCCCGACGCGGGACUUGAUCCCAGGACUCCAGGAUCGCGCCCUGGGCCAAAGGCAGGCGCUAAACCACUAAGCCACCCAAGGAUCCCCAGUCAUCUUCAUUUUAAAAUAAUAUAUAGAGAGUUGAUUGUAUUGAACUAUCAAGUGCUUUGGUAAUAGGAGAACAUUAAAUAAAGUAGCAACUGGUAAAACUUUAUCUCUUCCAGCAAGUUUCUUUGUGCCCAUUACACAUUUUUCCAUUGUCAAUAGAUUUGGCAGGAAUGGAGUAAAGUUGAAGGAUAUAGAUCACAAUCUCUGAAACAGUAAAUAAAUUAAAGUUCUUCUAUAUUUGUUGAGUUGCAGCCAGGAAAAAAGAAAAAGGAAAAACUAAAGCAAAAAAAAAAAAAAAAACACAAAAAACCAAAAAACCUCUCACAAAUCUGAUCAAAAAUACAAGUGGACAGGAGCUGGACACUUUUUAGAAUAGAAUGUCUGCAGGCUCUGGCCACAGAGAAAGCUCUUACUCAACAUAUGUUGCAAGUUGUGAGUACUAAUUCUAUCCAUAUUUGCCUUUCAUUUAUGUGGUUUUCAUUUGUGGCUGGGUCUGCUUUACAGGUGCCCUGUGUUCCAGAGAAUGGAGAUCAAAAGAAUUCACUUCUCAGGAUUUCAGAACUGUAUAGCCAAGAGAUGAAAUGUUUCUCUGGUAUCACCAUUUUUUUUUUUUUUUUAUGAAUGAGGCGUCUGGGUUUCUCAGGGAAAACUCUUCCCUUAAAAUAACAACAACAAAAUUCCUGUG
This 1433-nucleotide long non-coding RNA is filed under the name Canis lupus familiaris (dog). RNAcentral's name for it is "lncRNA (ENSCAFG00845012679.1)". The record is from RNAcentral. Lineage: Eukaryota; Metazoa; Chordata; Mammalia; Carnivora; Canidae.